This 560-nucleotide ribosomal RNA is filed under the name uncultured bacterium. RNAcentral's name for it is "bacterial SSU rRNA". It matches the Rfam family "Bacterial small subunit ribosomal RNA", at positions 340 to 917 of the family's 1533-position model. The record is from RNAcentral.
UACGGGAGGCAGCAGUGGGGAAUAUUGCACAAUGGGGGAAACCCUGAUGCAGCGACGCCGCGUGGAGGAAGAAGGUCUUCGGAUUGUAAACUCCUGUUGUUGAGGAAGAUAAUGACGGUACUCAACAAGGAAGUGACGGCUAACUACGUGCCAGCAGCCGCGGUAAAACGUAGGUCACAAGCGUUGUCCGGAAUUACUGGGUGUAAAGGGAGCGCAGGCGGGCGAUCAAGUUGGAAGUGAAAUCCAUGGGCUCAACCCAUGAACUGCUUUCAAAACUGAUUGUCUUGAGUAGUGCAGAGGUAGGCGGAAUUCCCGGUGUAGCGGUGGAAUGCGUAGAUAUCGGGAGGAACACCAGUGGCGAAGGCGGCCUACUGGGCACCAACUGACGCUGAGGCUCGAAAGUGUGGGUAGCAAACAGGAUUAGAUACCCUGGUAGUCCACACCGUAAACGAUGAUUACUAGGUGUUGGAGGAUUGACCCCUUCAGUGCCGCAGUUAACACAAUAAGUAAUCCACCUGGGGAGUACGACCGCAAGGUUGAAACUCAAAGGAAUUGACGGA